GACGAACGCUGGCGGCGUGCUUAACACAUGCAAGUCGAACGGAAAGGCCCUGCUUUUGUGGGGUGCUCGAGUGGCGAACGGGUGAGUAACACGUGAGUAACCUGCCCUUGACUUUGGGAUAACUUCAGGAAACUGGGGCUAAUACCGGAUAGGAGCUCCUGCUGCUAGGUGGGGGUUGGAAAGUUUCGGCGGUUGGGGAUGGACUCGCGGCUUAUCAGCUUGUUGGUGGGGUAGUGGCUUACCAAGGCGUUGACGGGUAGCCGGCCUGAGAGGGUGACCGGCCACAUUGGGACUGAGAUGGGGCCCAGACUCCUACGGGAGGCAGCAGUGGGGAAUAUUGCACAAUGGGCGGAAGCCUGAUGCAGCGUCGCCGCGUGCGGGAUGACGGCCUUCGGGUUGUAACCCGCUUUCGCCUGUGACGAAGCGUGAGUGACGGUAAUGGGUAAAGAAGCACCGGCUAACUACGUG
RNAcentral lists this ribosomal RNA (468 nucleotides) under uncultured bacterium. Its description in RNAcentral is "partial 16S ribosomal RNA". It matches the Rfam family "Bacterial small subunit ribosomal RNA", at positions 28 to 507 of the family's 1533-position model. The record is from RNAcentral.